GGGAACUCCAGGGAGACUGCCGGUGAUAAACCGGAGGAAGGUGGGGACGACGUCAAGUCAUCAUGGCCCUUACGAGUAGGGCUACACACGUGCUACAAUGGCGUAUACAGAGGGCAGCAAGACCGCGAGGUGGAGCGAAUCCCAGAAAGUACGUCGUAGUCCGGAUCGGAGUCUGCAACUCGACUCCGUGAAGUCGGAAUCGCUAGUAAUCGUGGAUCAGAAUGCCACGGUGAAUACGUUCCCGGGCCUUGUACACACCGCCCGUCACACCAUGGGAGUGGGCUGCACCAGAAGUAGAUAGCUUAACCUUCGGGAGGGCGUUUACCACGGUGUGGUUCAUGACUGGGGUGAAGUCGUAACAAGGUAGCCCUAGGGGAACCUGGGGCUGGAUCACCUCCUUAACGA
RNAcentral lists this ribosomal RNA (405 nucleotides) under Enterovibrio norvegicus FF-454. RNAcentral's name for it is "bacterial SSU rRNA". It matches the Rfam family "Bacterial small subunit ribosomal RNA", at positions 1133 to 1533 of the family's 1533-position model. The record is from RNAcentral. Lineage: Bacteria; Pseudomonadati; Pseudomonadota; Gammaproteobacteria; Vibrionales; Vibrionaceae.